CGGCGGACGGGUGAGUAACACGUAGGCAACCUACCCAUCAGACCGGGAUAACCGCGGGAAACCGUGGCUAAUACCGGAUGAACCUUCCGGGCAUAAGUCCUGAAGUUGAAAGGCGCUUUUGGUGCCGUUGAUGGAUGGGCCUGCGGCGCAUUAGCUGGUUGGUGGGGUAACGGCUCACCAAGGCGACGAUGCGUAGCCGACCUGAGAGGGUGAUCGGCCACACUGGGACUGAGACACGGCCCAGACUCCUACGGGAGGCAGCAGUAGGGAAUCUUCCGCAAUGGACGCAAGUCUGACGGAGCAACGCCGCGUGAGUGAAGAAGGGUUUCGGCUCGUAAAACUCUGUUGUUAAGGAAGAAUGUCAUUGAGAGUAACUGCUCAUUGAGUGACGGUACUUAACCAGAAAGCCACGGCUAACUACGUGCCAGCAGCCGCGGUAAUACGUAGGUGGCAAGCGUUAUCCGGAAUUAUUGGGCGUAAA
RNAcentral lists this ribosomal RNA (481 nucleotides) under uncultured bacterium. Its description in RNAcentral is "bacterial SSU rRNA". It matches the Rfam family "Bacterial small subunit ribosomal RNA", at positions 96 to 564 of the family's 1533-position model. The record is from RNAcentral.